UACGAAGGGGGCUAGCGUUGUUCGGAAUCACUGGGCGUAAAGCGCACGUAGGCGGACCGUUAAGUCGGAGGUGAAAUCCUGGGGCUCAACCCCAGAACUGCCUUCGAUACUGGCGGUCUUGAGUCCGGGAGAGGUGAGUGGAACUGCUAGUGUAGAGGUGAAAUUCGUAGAUAUUAGCAAGAACACCAGUGGCGAAGGCGGCUCACUGGCCCGGUACUGACGCUGAGGUGCGAAAGCGUGGGGAGCAAACAGG
Molecule: ribosomal RNA, 253 nt
Filed under: uncultured bacterium
Lineage: Bacteria
Description: partial 16S ribosomal RNA
Rfam family: Bacterial small subunit ribosomal RNA
Source: RNAcentral